UCCUGGUUAACCCAGGCAGUCUCGUUAGAGUUCCCGACAUGACUCGCUGGCAACUAACGACAGGGGUUGCGCUCGUUAUAGGACUUAACCCAACAUCUCACGACACGAGUUGACGACAGCCUUGCAGCACCUGUGUUCCCGUUCCCUUUCGGGCACAGCCCACUUUCGAGGGCCUCCAGGACAUGUCAAGGGUAGGUAAGGUUUUUCGCGUUGCAUCGAAUUAAUCCACAUAAUCCACCGCUUGUGCGGGUCCCCGUCAAUUCCUUUGAGUUUUAGCCUUGCGGCCGUACUCCCCAGGCGGGGCACUUAAUGCGUUAGCUACGGCACGGAAGGAGUCGAUACCUCCCACACCUAGUGCCCAUCGUUUACGGCGUGGACUAC
Molecule: unclassified non-coding RNA, 381 nt
Filed under: uncultured bacterium
Lineage: Bacteria
Description: contains 16S-23S intergenic spacer region
Source: RNAcentral